AGGACUCAUAUUUUAAGUAGGAUACCAAUCCAGCGAAAGAGGGUUUUGUAAACCCAAGUGAAACCAUGGGUUUCGAAGCCUCCGCCUCCGGCUUUCACUGCGUACGCAGAGCACCUCCUUCUCAUCGUCUCUUUUUCUUCUUUUCGUUCUCCCUGUGACUUCAACACCUCUUUGUGCCAUUAUGAAGACUACAAUUUUGUUUCUCAUGUCUCCUGUCUCCUUUCCUCUCUCUGCCUACGAGAAGCCAUGGAUCAAAGGCUUCAAGAAUUCAAAUCAGAAUUUUCGCCUUUUCUUUACGAAAGAAUCCCAGAUUUGUGUUUUUUUUAUUUAUAAAUAUUGGUUAUGUAAUUCAUUGUCCCUUUUCUUUAUGAUGAUGGGUUCUAUAUUUUAUUUAUUUUUUCUAUCAAAGAUGAUGGGUUCUGUUUGUUUGUUCAGAAAAUUUAGUAAAUGAAAUAAGCAAUAGCAAAAAGUUUCUAA
Molecule: non-coding RNA, 477 nt
Organism: Prunus avium (sweet cherry)
Lineage: Eukaryota; Viridiplantae; Streptophyta; Magnoliopsida; Rosales; Rosaceae
Source: RefSeq, a predicted model, not a curated record